RNAcentral lists this ribosomal RNA (464 nucleotides) under uncultured bacterium. RNAcentral describes it as "partial 16S ribosomal RNA". It matches the Rfam family "Bacterial small subunit ribosomal RNA", at positions 28 to 507 of the family's 1533-position model. The record is from RNAcentral.
GACGAACGCUGGCGGCGUGCUUAACACAUGCAAGUCGAACGGAAAGGCCCUGCUUGCAGGGUACUCGAGUGGCGAACGGGUGAGUAACACGUGGGUGAUCUGCCCUGCACUUCGGGAUAAGCCUGGGAAACUGGGUCUAAUACCGGAUAGGAGCCAUUUUUAGUGUGAUGGUUGGAAAGUUUUUUCGGUGUAGGAUGAGCUCGCGGCCUAUCAGCUUGUUGGUGGGGUAAUGGCCUACCAAGGCGGCGACGGGUAGCCGGCCUGAGAGGGUGGACGGCCACAUUGGGACUGAGAUACGGCCCAGACUCCUACGGAAGGCAGCAGUGGGGAAUAUUGCACAAUGGGCGCAAGCCUGAUGCAGCGACGCCGCGUGGGGGAUGACGGCCUUCGGGUUGUAAACUCCUUUCGCUAGGGACGAAGCUUUUGUGACGGUACCUAGAGAAGAAGCACCGGCUAACUACGUG